Molecule: ribosomal RNA, 781 nt
Filed under: Trichormus anomalus SULS-K1
Lineage: Bacteria; Bacillati; Cyanobacteriota; Cyanophyceae; Nostocales; Nostocaceae
Description: bacterial SSU rRNA
Rfam family: Bacterial small subunit ribosomal RNA
Source: RNAcentral
GUGGCGGACGGGUGAGUAACGCGUGAGAAUCUGGCUCCAGGUCGGGGACAACAGUUGGAAACGACUGCUAAUACCGGAUGUGCCGAGAGGUGAAAGAUUUAUUGCCUGGAGAUGAGCUCGCGUCUGAUUAGCUAGUUGGUGUGGUAAGAGCGCACCAAGGCGACGAUCAGUAGCUGGUCUGAGAGGAUGAUCAGCCACACUGGGACUGAGACACGGCCCAGACUCCUACGGGAGGCAGCAGUGGGGAAUUUUCCGCAAUGGGCGAAAGCCUGACGGAGCAAUACCGCGUGAGGGAGGAAGGCUCUUGGGUUGUAAACCUCUUUUCUCAGGGAAUAAAAAAAUGAAGGUACCUGAGGAAUAAGCAUCGGCUAACUCCGUGCCAGCAGCCGCGGUAAUACGGAGGAUGCAAGCGUUAUCCGGAAUGAUUGGGCGUAAAGGGUCCGCAGGUGGCAAUGUAAGUCUGCUGUCAAAGAAUGAGGCUUAACCUCAUCAAGGCAGUGGAAACUACAUAGCUAGAGUACGGUCGGGGUAGAAGGAAUUCCUGGUGUAGCGGUGAAAUGCGUAGAGAUCAGGAAGAACACCGGUGGCGAAAGCGUUCUGCUARACCUGUACUGACACUGAGGGACGAAAGCUAGGGGAGCGAAUGGGAUUAGAUACCCCAGUAGUCCUAGCCGUAAACRAUGGAUACUAGGCGUGGCUUGUAUCGACCCGAGCCGUGCCGGAGCCAACGCGUUAAGUAUCCCGCCUGGGGAGUACGCACGCAAGUGUGAAACUCAAAGGA